This 359-nucleotide transfer-messenger RNA is filed under the name Sporobacter termitidis. Its description in RNAcentral is "Standard tmRNA". It matches the Rfam family "transfer-messenger RNA". Rfam says of the family: Bacterial tmRNA, also known as 10Sa RNA or SsrA, is named for its dual tRNA and mRNA-like properties. Its role is to liberate the mRNA from a stalled ribosome. To accomplish this part of the tmRNA is used as a reading frame that ends in a translation stop signal. The record is from RNAcentral. RNAcentral also lists the same sequence under 1 other name. Lineage: Bacteria; Bacillati; Bacillota; Clostridia; Eubacteriales; Oscillospiraceae.
GGGGCUGUACCGGCUUCGACGGGGGUGUGGAGGCGGGAAUAGCGGGCGGAGGCGUCGCCCUCCUAAAAAACGGCAUUCUUUAUAAAUUAAAGAACAACAACGAAUCUUUACCGGUAGCCGCUUAAGGCUGCCCGUCCUGUCCGGAAGGUCCACGAGCCGGAUUUGGGUGUGACUUAGUGGAGCCCGUGCGUGUAUUAAGCUUUGCGUACACCAUGAACAAUGAAGCUACCGACCCAUGCCGCGUGACGGCUUGCAGUAUGGCGAGGAAAUUGGGCUAGUCCCGCAAUAACCGUCUGCGCCCGGAGAAGUUUGCGUCAAAGCGCUUUCGGACGGGGGUUCAACUCCCCCCAGCUCCACCA